This 21-nucleotide microRNA is filed under the name Gallus gallus (chicken). RNAcentral's name for it is "gga-miR-1614-3p". Lineage: Eukaryota; Metazoa; Chordata; Aves; Galliformes; Phasianidae. The record is from miRBase by way of RNAcentral.
CAGGGAGGAACUGCCAGCAGA